AUGAGGUAAUAUUACCUUGGAAACAGCUGAGUGUUGGUGACAGGAAGAACAUCUAGUUGUAGAAAAUCAACCUCAACAGAUUCUGUCCAACUCAUGUGAGCAUGGAAAAAUGGAUAUUAAAUGUUAACUU
This is a long non-coding RNA of Octopus sinensis (East Asian common octopus), 130 nucleotides long. RefSeq lists it as uncharacterized. The record is from RefSeq and is a predicted model, not a curated record. The transcript is spliced from 3 exons. NCBI's taxonomy places the organism in Eukaryota, Metazoa, Mollusca, Cephalopoda, Octopoda, Octopodidae.